This 526-nucleotide ribosomal RNA is filed under the name uncultured bacterium. RNAcentral describes it as "bacterial SSU rRNA". It matches the Rfam family "Bacterial small subunit ribosomal RNA", at positions 355 to 896 of the family's 1533-position model. The record is from RNAcentral.
CAAGGAAUUUUGUGCAAUGGGCGAAAGCCUGACACAGCAACGCCGCGUGGGGGAUGAAUGCCUUCGGGUUGUAAACCCCUUUUCUCGGGGAAGAAUAAUGACGGUACCUGAGGAAUAAGCCUUGGCUAACUACGUGCCAGCAGCCGCGGUAAUACGUAGAAGGCAAGCGUUAUUCGGAUUUACUGGGCGUAAAGAGGGCGUAGGCGGCCUUUCAAGUCGGAUGUGAAAUCUCUCGGCUUAACCGGGAGGGGUCAUCCGAUACUGUUGGGCUAGAGGACAGCAAGAGGAGGUGGAAUUCCCGGUGUAGUGGUGAUAUGCGUAGAUAUCGGGAGGAACACCAGUGGCGAAGGCGGCCUCCUGGGCUGUUUCUGACGCUGAGGCCCGAAAGUGUGGGUAGCGAACAGAAUUAGAUACUCUGGUAGUCCACACCGUAAACGAUGGAUACUAGGUAUGGGGAGUAUCGACCCUCUCUGUAUCGAAGCUAACGCUUUAAGUGUCCCGCCUGGGGAGUACGGCCGCAAGGCUA